UAUGGAACUUCACCCAGGACCCUGGGAUCAUGACUUGAGCCAAAGGCAGAUGCUCAACCAGUGAACCACCCAGGUGCCCCUGAUUUCUGAUUUCUAAAUCAUAAUGUAUGGCCUUUAUAACAACAAAAAGUGGCCAUUGUGGUCAAGAGGCUUACUUAUAGAAUGUCUAUUGAUAAAGCAUAUGUAGAUAAAAAAUACGAAAUACCUUUCACAUAAUGUGAAAAGGGCAAUAAAAGGAGGAAUCUCUUUUCUGGUUUAGCUCCACUCAUUUACUCCUUCAUGUACUCCUUCACAAACGUUUAGUUUGUCCCUACUCACCAAACAUUUCAUUUGCAUUUUAUUGGAAAUACAAAGAUAAAUAUUUCUUCAUCCCAAGAAACAAAAAUAGAUACUUAUGAAAUAACUACAGAACUUACAAUCUAUUAUAAACACAGUGGUAAAAACAUAUGCAGGGUAUAAUGCAAACCUAGGGAAGAGGGUCUUAAUUCACAGUGAGGACAUGAUAUUAGAGAAAGCUUUCGGUGGGGACUAUGGGGUGGUGUGGUGAGCUGAUUCUUAAAGGAUGAAUAAUUGUGAAGGAGACACUGAAUCUGGCAGGACAGAGUAACUCAAAACAUAGACACUGUUAGUGGAGAGUCAGGAGCUUCAGAUUUCUGUGAAGAAAGCAUUCUUUUAAUCACAUUAACACAAACAAGGGAGUCAGAGGUAAAAGCUUUUUUUUUUCCCCCAGUGAGAUGUUAGAGCAAUAUCCAAUUAGAAAAGUCUAGCAAGUAGUUUGAAAUGAGAAGGAAAACAUGAUUUCAGGUGGAUUUAGGAGGUAGAAACAGUCACCUAAUUUUCUUUCUUUCUCCAUCCAUUUCUUAUUGUCCACCACCCUGUUAAAUAUUUAUGCCUUUUGAGUUCUCUCCUUUCCUUCUUUUCUUCUUCCUUGGUACUGAGUAUGAUCUAUAGGCAUUCUCUUUGUGCAAACCUGUUACAGCUUUCUCUCCUAAGCUUCAAACAUGGGAAUACUACCGUUUGGAUAUUUCAUGGGGAUCUCAAAGUACCAUAAUCAUUUUGGAUAACAAACUAACAUACUGACAGAAAAGAUUUCUGCAGUCCCUCUACACCUCUCCAAUUCAAGCUUGCAACUUCCUCAUAUGCCUCUCACACACCUUGUCAAUUUGGCCACCCAAGCCAAGAACAUGAGAGUCAUUCUCAAUUCUCCUUGUUCCAUGCUCUCCACCUCCAGUUAGUUACCUUUCCCUUCAUUCUCUGUGGUUCUUUUUGAAAUGAUUCAUACAACCUUUGUAGCAGCAAUCACAUUGUGGCUAAUGGUGAUUUCAUCCAUGUCUGCUACUCCACCCAUUUCUCUCUCUCGAGACUGUUAGUACUUAGAAAGCUGAGGCCAUAUCAUAUUCAUAGUGGCCCAGCCCCUCGUAGCCAGCAAAUAUUUGGUGAUUGAUAAAGAAUUGUUGAACUUAGCCCACAUACUAGAAGGAACUAAUUAGAAGUAAAAAAAACAAAACAAAACAAAACAAAAAACCCACAGUAUUAAAAAGGAACAUGUUUGAAAUGUACACUGUGAAUGAAUUAAUGGUGGAUCUAGUCAGAAAAUGUUGGUCUGUUGGUUUGUGUAUGUGUGUUUUUCCCAACCAUACUGCAGCUCAAGAACAGAAGGACAGCAGAUGGUGAUGUGGGUUAGGGUUGCAGGGUGGCCUGGCUGAUAGUUAAGAGAUAUGUCAGUGUAUAUAUGAAACUGAAUGUGGCACGAGGGGAUGAGCAGGAACCAAGCUGGUGGAGUCUAGGGGCCAGUUGAGAAGAUAGUGUAUUAGAUUUACAUUGAGUAUGGAAGAAUAAGAGAGGAUCACUUUUCCUUUUAAUCCUGGGGAAAGAACUAUGGUCCUUUUCCACAGAUGCCCAGGCAUGAGUGACAUCACAGAUACUAGAGUCAGAAUGUUGAGAUUCUCAUGGACUUUCCAGUUAGAUGGAUCAAGAGCCACCUUCAACUUGGGCAUUGAAAAAGGAGAACUGGCUGACUUGGGGUAGAGGAUGACUUUAUUGUCUUUCUGAGCUAGAAUUUACAGACCAAUAAUCAAAGCCUACCAGACUGCAAGCCUUGUGGUCUAGCACAGAGAAGCCAGCACAUCCCUAAUGAACAGUCACCACGUUCUGGGGCAGGAGCAAUCAGCCCUGAGACCACAGGUGGACCGUUCUUAACUUUUACUGAAAACAAUAUCUGAAUGAUGUCAUACCUUUGGGGAGAGUCACACCCAUUUCAUGUAGAAUCAGCUACAUGAUUACCUUACAGAGUAGAGACAUCCUUUCCUAGCAAGAAUUGGCAGAAGCAGCCAUAAGCAUGCGUUGGCUUGUUCUGGAGGCUCUGGUGUGAAAUAGGGUUGCACAGAGUAGAAGAGCUUCUAUCAUCUUGGCGACAAAUGCCUUUGUUGUUGAUUUGCCUCUUUGAAAGAAUUUCCAAAGACCAGCACAAAAGAGGAUGUUUCAGGAUCCGAGAAAGUGUAAAGAGGAAGAGUGGCAAGUUAGAAAAUCAACUUAUCUUUCAACUGUAGCAGUCAUAACUUGUGGAGAAAAAUUCAGAGCAAUUUAUAACAGCUGAGAGGAAGAGGGAAGAUUCAGAAAGAAAUAUUGUCAGAACUUAUGAGACUAUGUGUUUAUUACAUGUUAAAUUUUUUGUUAAACAAGAAAUCGUACAUAAUUAAUGUGUAUAACUUGAUGUGUUUGGAGGUAAGUAUACACCCAUGAAACCAUCACCACAGUCUAUGCCACGAACCUAUUCAUCCCCUCCAAAAGUUUUCUCCCUCUUAUUUAUUAUUAUUAUUAUCAUCAUCAUCAUCAUCAUCAGUGCCAAGAACACUUAACAUAAGAUUUACCCUCUUAGCAAAAUUUAAGUAUAUAAUACAGUGUUGCUAACUAUAGGUUCUGUGCUGUAUAGUAGAUCUCUAGGACUUAUUCAUCUUGUCUAAAUGAAACUUUAUGCCCUUUGACUAAUACUUGCAUUUCCUGUGACACAGUUUUCCACUAAAGUUGUGGAUAUUGGCCCUGAAUGAGAAUAAUUAAGAGUUUGGUAAAACAAGGUCUUUUCAUUAUGCCUUACCUAAAGAAAAUUAGGUGGAAAAUCAAAGUGGUUCUUUUCUUUUUACUAGUAAAUCUAGAGAGCAGACUCUGCAUGUAGAAACUUUGUAUCUGCAACACAAACCAGCCAUGCCUGGUCCGUGGAUCUGGUGAUGGAAAGACACCGGUGCAUGGAGCCUGCUUCUCCCUCUGCCUGUGUCUCUGCGCCUCUCUCUCUCUCUCUGUGACUAUCAUAAAUAAAUAAAAAUUUUAAAAAAAAAUUAAAAAAAAAAAAAAAAGGAAAGACACUGCUUCAAUCAGCUACACCAAGCUACUUGCUUAUCUGAGGCGUGUGUGUAUGGGUGUGUGUGUGUUUUACCUCCAGGUUAGGGCCACAUAAAUCUUACUGUCAACAUAGUUCAUUGGACAUGGAAAGACAUGACUCACAUUUUGUGUUUAAAUACUCAUUUUUGGCUUAGUGACAAUGCCUUUUUGCAGGAGUGGAAACCAUGUCAUUAUCCCAUUUAUAUAAAUACAAAUUACCUGAUUCUGUGCUACUUUAUAAUUAACAGAAUUCUUUGCAAUCCUCUCUUGAUUAUGAAAGAAUAUAAAUACUUCCCUUGCCUUCUGAGGCAAUGAGGACAUACAUAUUCUUUCAAUAUCAGUGUUUCUCUUAUAUUAGAAUUUGACGCUCUGUGUUUUCACACAUCAUUUACUGUUUGCUAAUUUAAUAACAAAUUCAGGAUGCAGAAAACAUCAGACGUUGCAAGGCAUAAAUUUUAAAAUAUAAUACUACUUCAUGGAAUAAAGGUGGAGAGGGAGAUAGUGUUGAAGAGUAAAAUAGUUGUAGCUGUUCAAAUGUGUUUUUCACAAAUCACAGAAACACUGAGGUUGAAGGACCCAUUUAAAGUUAUCAUUUAAAAAAAGUGAAAUAGAAUAAAACACAAAUCACGGUCUUAGAUAUGGAGAACAGAUUGGUGAUUGCCAAAGGUAGGGCACGGGAUGUGUAGAAAAUGGGUGAAAGGGGUCAAAAGGUAGAAACUUAGAGUUAUAAAUAAGUCAUGGGGAUAUAAUAUACAGCAGGGUCACUAUAGUUAAUUUCUGAAUUGCAUAUUUGCAAGUUGUGAAGAGGGUAGAUCUUACAAGUUCUUAUAACAAGAAAAAAAUUUUUUGUAACUAUGUAUGGUGAUGGAUGUUACUUAGAUGUACUGUGGUGGUCAUUUCAUAAUAUAUAUUAAUACUGAAUCAAAAUCGGUACAUGUAAAAUUAUUUUUAUACCUAGCUAUGUGUCACACAUAACCUCUUCUAAAUUGGGUGCUAUCAAAGUAAUUCUUGGGCAACCUGGGUGGCUCAGUGGUUUAGUGCUGCCUUCAGCCCAGGUGUGAUCCUGGAGACCCGGGAUUGAGUCCCACGUCAGGCUCCCUGCAUGAAGCCUACUUCUCCUUCUGCCUGUGUCUCUGCCUCUCUCUCUCUCUGUCUCUCAUGAAUAAAGUCUUAAAAAAAAAAAAAAAAAAAGUAAUUCUUAAGGAGUUUACCAAAAAAGAGUUUCUAUGACUUUUGGAUAGUUUGUUUUAUUUUUUGUUUGUUUGUUUUUUUUUGUUUUUUGGGGUAGCUUGUUUUCCUUAUUAAAUGUGGAAGAGAUGUCAUUGUGUCCUGAAAUAUAACCCCACGUAUACUUCAGUAUAGCAGCAAACCAUAUAUUUGCAUUCUAUCUAUUCCCCUGUUUCUUCCUUUUUAUCUCUCUCUGUCUCUCAGUCUUAGAUAUAUAUAGAAAUAUACAGAUUGCUCUGUCCUGUAUUCCCAAAUAGAUAUAUUUGCCCCCAGUGUACUGCUUCUUUAAUCUUUAGAAUUGUACCUAGAUUUCUAGUCCGUUAAAAAAUCAUUUUGAUUGUUUUCUUUGUAUUCUUAACAAUUUUUAAUGCUCUACUCAAGUCUCAGAGCAGAAAGCAAGCAGCUUAUUUUGACAGAGUAAUAAUUAUGUAUUAUUAUUACUGAAUAACUAUAGAUAAACCUUUGCAUUUAUGUCACUUUAUUGAGUGACCUUGAGGAAGUAAUUUGCUUCUCUGGGUCUCUCUUUUCCUGACUAUAAUCAGGGUUACUGUAAGAAUUAAAUUAGAAUAUGUACCUCUUUGUCUUGGCCACCUGGUAGGGCUUAUCAAUGUCCUCUUUCUUCCUGCUCUGGUAACGGUAUCCAUUUGCACUUGUUCUUUUAGACCAUCAUUCUCUUGAGUUUUAACUAUAUCUGCAUUGUGUUUAGAUUUUUUCUGUUAUGCAUUUGUUAAAAAGAAAGUCUAUGCAUAAAAAAGAAAUUAAGACACCAA
Canis lupus familiaris (dog) is the source of this 5372-nucleotide long non-coding RNA. RefSeq lists it as uncharacterized. The transcript has 3 exons. NCBI's taxonomy places the organism in Eukaryota, Metazoa, Chordata, Mammalia, Carnivora, Canidae. The record is from RefSeq and is a predicted model, not a curated record.